CUAGAAGUGUCAUUACCUACUGAUGUUUAAUCUGUCCCUGGUGUUGGGAAGGAUAGACCUGACAUUCAUGCCGCACAAUGUGCCAGUCAGCUGGACAUUGCUGCACCACCUGUUCUUUGGAAAAAUUCUUCCAGACCUUUGAACACGUCCAUCAGUUAAAGUGCACUCUGCAUUACGUAAUGCAGUUUAUAUGUUGAUGACACCAUGAUGCCUUCAUUCACCUGUCUGUUGUCUGCAAUGGAACUGCUCCUUUUUAUACAGUUUUAUGGUCAUCAGCAGUAUUGUGUGCAUUAAUUCAGGGAAUUUAAAAAAUAUGUCUUUUGAAAGCUGUAUAUAUACGAAAGUUAUGCUGAAACAGUAGUCUAGCUACUAGUCAAUCCCUUGACGUUACACAAAAUGUCCAGAGCAGAAAUUUACCAUUUGAUACAAGGAAAGAUCCGAGAAGAGGGUAGUCAGAUCCGGGUUGGUACAGAUCAUAUUAGAAACAUAGAAAAUAGGUGUAGGAGUAGGCCAUUCAGCCCGUCGAGCUAGCACCGCCAUUCAAUAUGAUCAUGGCUGAUCAUCCAAAAUCAGUACCCGUUCCGGCUUUUUCCCCAUAUCCCUUGAUUCCCUAAGAGCUAAACCUAACUCUCUCUUGAAAAAAUAUUGAUCACAACUGUAUUCAACAACGGACCCCAAGGCAAACUAGAGAGAUGCAAAUCAGAUUAUAAUAUGUACAUUUUUGCAAAUAUAUGUGAUUU
This is a long non-coding RNA of Amblyraja radiata (thorny skate), 740 nucleotides long. RefSeq lists it as uncharacterized. The record is from RefSeq and is a predicted model, not a curated record. NCBI's taxonomy places the organism in Eukaryota, Metazoa, Chordata, Chondrichthyes, Rajiformes, Rajidae. The transcript has 2 exons.